UAUUUCAAUUAAGGUUGUCCACGAGCAAAGCGGAAAAGUCGCUAACAAAUUAAUGAAUUUUCAAAGCGAUUCCCAGCAUCCUUUCGCGCUCGUAUUCGACUUUUCCGCUUUGCUCGUGGACAACCUUAAUUGAAAUA
Paramuricea clavata is the source of this 137-nucleotide non-coding RNA. The record is from the annotation of a GenBank genome assembly. Lineage: Eukaryota; Metazoa; Cnidaria; Anthozoa; Malacalcyonacea; Plexauridae.